AUGCAGCAGCAGCAGCCGGCCCUCCUCAGCUUCGGAGGAGGCGGCGAGUGCCGCCACGACGAGGACGACGAGGAAUACGCGACGCUGGAAGCGCUCGUGAUGCAGCAGGGGCAGUCCGCCUCGGUAGGAGCGCCUCACUUCGACGGCGCAGACUUUGAAAUGUGGCAGGUUGGGAUGAGAGACCACCUGCUUUUCUUUCACCCUCGCGUGUGGAGCAUUGUGGAAACCGGCUUCUCUUGUGUGGACGAAGCAAACCCGACGGAUCUUGAAUCGAGGAAUGUCCACUACAAUGCCCAAGCCAUGGACGCCAUACACUGCGCCCUGAGCGACCAUCAGCUCUACCGGAUCUGGCACCUCGAUACCACUAAGGAGGUCUGGGAUGCCCUCCAGGUUAUGCACGAAGACACCCCAAUCGUCCGCGAGCUGAAGGUCAAGCAGCUGAGGGAGAAGAUGAAGUUGUUUGCGUGGAGGAAGGGCGAGUCCGCCGAUGGCAUGUGCGCAAGGCUCGAGAAUUUGGUCUUUGAGAUGAAGCAGCUUGGAUGCGAAGAGGUGACCGAUUCUUAUGGUGUGAGGGAGAUGCUUCGUGCCAUGGCACCAAGGAAGUCAUCCUUUGUGACCCUCAUUCGUGAAGGGCGUAAGUUAGAACACACCCCUCGAGAUGUGCUCCAAGUCUACAAUAUGAUGCAAGAACAAUCCAGAAUCGUGCGCGGGUACGCAAGGGCGAAGGUGGACAGUGUCACCCGAACCGAGCCCGACUACGAUGAAGAUUGCUUCAGAGAAGCGCCUUGCUUCGAUGGCACGCACUAUCUAUCAUGGCAGCGUAGGAUGAAAUUCCAUCUGCUUAGCAUUGACCCUCUUGUGUGGAGAAUUGUGGAAACUGGCUUGUCUUGUGUGGAUGAAGCAAAUCCAACGGCUCUUGAAAAGAGGAAUUGGCAGCACGAUUACCGAGCUAGACGUGCCUUACAGCAUGCCAUAGGUGAUGAUCAAUAUAUUCGGAUUUGCCGAUAUCAAUAUAAGAGUGCUAAGGAGAUUUGGGAUGCUCUCCAAAAAUUUAAUGAAGCAGUUGGUAAGUCAAAGCUCAGUUCACUGAGCAUGGAUAUGAACUUCUUCGUCUUAGGAGAAGAUGAGUCCCCCAAUGACAUGUAUACACGGCUCAACAAUUUGGCUAAUGAGAUGAAGGGUCUUGGGUGCAAAGAGAUGACUGAUUCCUAUCUUGUGAGGAAGAUGCUUUCUGCCAUGGCACCAAGGAACUUAAACCUGGUUUUUUUCCUCAAGCAUGUGAAGCCUAACUUUGAACUACUAACCCCCCAGGAUGUGCUUGCAACAUUCCUCCUCUACGACAUGGAGCAAAAAGAAUCCAAAAUCAUGAGUGGGCAUGCUUUGCCACACUCAAGCAAGAAGGUCAAUGCUGCCUUGAAGGCCAAGCAAGUCCAAGUGGACAAAUCAAGCGAUGAUGAAAACGAUCAUGAUCAAGAUCAAGAGGAAAUGCAACAAGGAAUGCAAGAAUUGACUCUCUUCAUGAAGAAGUAUAAAGGGUUUCUUGGAACGAAAGGCUAUGAAGAAAGAAAUAAUUUCUCUGACAAGUCCAAGAUGAGGAAACCAAAGAGAUAUUGCUAUCAAUGUGGAGAUUCCAAUCAUUUCAGUGCUGAUUGUUCUAAGGAGGACAAGAAAGAAGAGAAUGAGGAAAGCAAAUACAAGAGGAAACCAUUCGACAACAAGGGCAAGCCACACAAGCCAGAGGGGGAGAAAGGUGCGGAGGCACAUCCUCACGUAAACACGGGAGUGGAAAGUGCCGUUCAAAGAUGCGGAGGCGGUGGACUUAGACCGCUUGGGAGGCCGGUUGAUGAAGUACCUGAGAACUCCGCUUCAAAGCUGCCAAGGAAACCUGCCGCCCAAUCGGCACAGCAACACUACUGCCUCAGUGGGCGUCUGGUGGAGGAGUGA
This 1944-nucleotide ribosomal RNA is filed under the name Triticum aestivum (bread wheat). RNAcentral's name for it is "partial small subunit ribosomal RNA". The record is from RNAcentral. Lineage: Eukaryota; Viridiplantae; Streptophyta; Magnoliopsida; Poales; Poaceae.